AGCAGCCGCGGUAAUUCCAGCUCCAAUAGCGUAUGUUAAAGUUGUUGCAGUUAAAAAGCUCGUAGUUGAACUUCAGGCUUGGUCGGGCGGUCUGCCUCACGGUAUGUACUGUCUGACUGAGUCUUACCUCUUGGUGAGCCGGCGUGCGCUUUAUUGUGUGCGUCGGGGAACCAGGACUUUUACCUUGAGAAAAUUAGAGUGUUCAAAGCAGGCUUAUGCCUGAAUACAUUAGCAUGGAAUAAUAAAAUAGGACGUGCGGUUCUAUUUUGUUGGUUUCUAGAGUCGCCGUAAUGAUUAAUAGGGAUAGUUGGGGGCAUUGGUAUUGAGUCGCUAGAGGUGAAAUUCUUGGAUUGACUCAAGACCGACUAUUGCGAAAGCAUUUGCCAAGGAUGUUUUCAUUAAUCAAGAACGAAGGUUAGGGGAUCGAAAACGAUCAGAUACCGUUGUAGUCUUAACAGUAAACUAUGCCGACUAGGGAUCGGACGACCUCAAAUUUGAUGCGUCG
RNAcentral lists this ribosomal RNA (505 nucleotides) under uncultured fungus. RNAcentral describes it as "SSU rRNA". It matches the Rfam family "Eukaryotic small subunit ribosomal RNA", at positions 569 to 1078 of the family's 1831-position model. The record is from RNAcentral. Lineage: Eukaryota; Fungi.